UUAACAAAAACAUGGCCUUUUGAUAAUAAUUUAAGGUCUAAUCUGCCCACUGAUUUAUUAAAUGGCCGCGGUAUUUUGACCGUGCAAAGGUAGCAUAAUAAUUAGUUUUUUAAUUAGAAGCUGGAAUGAAUGAUUUGAUGAGAAAAUUACUGUCUCAAUUUAAUUUUUUUAGAAUUUUAUUUUUAAGUUAAAAAGCUUAAAUUUAUUUAAAAGACGAGAAGACCCUAUAGAGUUUGAUAAUUUAUUUAAUUUAUUAAAAUAUAGUUUUAAUUUUUUUAGAUUAUUUAAUUAUUUUGUUGGGGUGAUAGAAAAAUUUAAUUAACUUUUUUUAUAUUAGUUCACUAAUAAGUGUUUUUUUGAUCCAAAUUUUUUGAUUAUAAGAUUAAAUUACCUUAGGGAUAACAGCGUAAUUUUUUUUGAGAGUUCUUAUCGAAAAANNAGAUUGCGACCUCGAUGUUGGAAUAAAGUUNNNUUUUGGUGNAGAAGCUAANNUAUUAGGUCUGUUCGACCUUUA
This 514-nucleotide ribosomal RNA is filed under the name Solervicensia ovatus. RNAcentral describes it as "partial 16S ribosomal RNA". It matches the Rfam family "Bacterial large subunit ribosomal RNA", at positions 1804 to 2590 of the family's 2925-position model. The record is from RNAcentral. Lineage: Eukaryota; Metazoa; Arthropoda; Insecta; Coleoptera; Cleridae.